Molecule: long non-coding RNA, 626 nt
Filed under: Anser brachyrhynchus (Pink-footed goose)
Lineage: Eukaryota; Metazoa; Chordata; Aves; Anseriformes; Anatidae
Description: lncRNA (ENSABRG00000017716.1)
Source: RNAcentral
UGAGAGAAGCCUAUGAAGCUGUGAGUAGCGUACCCAAGGAAGUUGCUCCUGUCUAUGACUUUGCAAUUCCUCUUGGCAUGGAAAAUGGAGGGUCAGGUUCCUGAAGGAGUGUGAAAGUGUCAUUUGCUGCAAAAGGUUGGAAUUGUGGAUACCCUGCAUCCUGAACCCGCUGCAGACUGUCUGGAGUACCUGCAGGAGAGCAAAGGCAGAAGAACUGCAUUCGUACUUUGUGGGAGUGAAUUACAGCGAGGACUUCUACCUGCCGCAGCUAUACCCAGGUUAAUAUACCAGUGCACACCAACUGCUUAGGAAUACGUGACAACUCUGUUCUGGGUGCUGGACUGAGAACACCAAACUCGUUUCAUGAGUGAAAGCUUUCAGAAGAACAGUUCUCGGUAAAGGAGAGAAUUUCAAACACCUUCAUAAAUGCAGCGUGGGAUGUUUGUAUCAGCCAACUUUCUAAAUUUUCCUUUUCCUGCCAGAAAUUUUCUUUUCUAAAAAUAUUUGACUUUGCUGUCUAAUCUAGAGAUGGAUAAUAUAGUGCUGAUUUUAAAAAUCUGACUGGUGCAGGAUAUAAGAAUGACUUCUAAAACAGUGCCUGAGUCGCUUUGGAACACAUUUUAUAA